RNAcentral lists this ribosomal RNA (239 nucleotides) under uncultured bacterium. RNAcentral describes it as "partial 16S ribosomal RNA". It matches the Rfam family "Bacterial small subunit ribosomal RNA", at positions 538 to 776 of the family's 1533-position model. The record is from RNAcentral.
GCGUUGUCCGGAAUUACUGGGCGUAAAGAGCUCGUAGGUGGUUUGUCGCGUUGUUCGUGAAAACUCACAGCUUAACUGUGGGCGUGCGGGCGAUACGGGCUGACUGGAGUACUGCAGGGGAGACUGGAAUUCCUGGUGUAGCGGUGGAAUGCGCAGAUAUCAGGAGGAACACCGGUGGCGAAGGCGGGUCUCUGGGCAGUAACUGACGCUGAGGAGCGAAAGCGUGGGGAGCAAACAGG